Molecule: ribosomal RNA, 254 nt
Filed under: uncultured bacterium
Lineage: Bacteria
Description: partial 16S ribosomal RNA
Rfam family: Bacterial small subunit ribosomal RNA
Source: RNAcentral
UACGGAGGAUCCAAGCGUUAUCCGGAAUUACUGGGCGUAAAGAGUUGCGUAGGUGGCAAAGUAAGCAGGAUAUGAAAUUGUGUGGCUCAACCAUACACCCAUGUGCUGAACUGCUUAGCUAGAGAAUGGAAGAGGUCGCUGGAAUUCCCGGUGUAGGGGUGAAAUCCGUAGAUAUCGGGAGGAACACCAAUGGCGUAGGCAGGCGACUGGUCCAUUUCUGACACUCAGGCACGAAAGCGUGGGGAGCGAUCGGG